Small nucleolar RNA from Peromyscus leucopus (white-footed mouse), 109 nucleotides. RefSeq annotates it as small nucleolar RNA SNORA23. The record is from RefSeq and is a predicted model, not a curated record. The transcript has a single exon. Lineage: Eukaryota; Metazoa; Chordata; Mammalia; Rodentia; Cricetidae.
AAAUAAUUGUGUGUGUGUGUGUGUGUGUGUGUGUGUGUGUGUGUGUGUGUGUGUAUCACACACACACACACACACACACACACACACACACACUUCCAUAUACACACAU